RNAcentral lists this ribosomal RNA (751 nucleotides) under uncultured bacterium. RNAcentral describes it as "bacterial SSU rRNA". It matches the Rfam family "Bacterial small subunit ribosomal RNA", at positions 28 to 776 of the family's 1533-position model. The record is from RNAcentral.
GAUGAACGCUAGCGGCAGGCUUAACACAUGCAAGUCGAGGGGCAGCACAGGGAGCAAUCCUGGGUGGCGACCGGCGGAAGGGUGCGUAACGCGUGAGCAACUUGCCCGUAUCUGGGAGAUAACCGAUGGAAACGUCGACUAAUAUCCCAUAACACAAUUUGUGGCAUCGCAGAUUGUUAAAAGAGAAUCGGAUACGGAUAGGCUCGCGUGACAUUAGCUAGUUGGAGUGGUAACGGCACACCAAGGCGACGAUGUCUAGGGGUUCUGAGAGGAAGGUCCCCCACACUGGAACUGAGACACGGUCCAGACUCCUACGGGAGGCAGCAGUGAGGAAUAUUGGUCAAUGGGCGAAAGCCUGAACCAGCCAUGCCGCGUGAAGGAAUAAGGCCCUAUGGGUCGUAAACUUCUUUUGACGGGGAGCAAUAAGGUCUACGUGUAGGCCGAUGAGAGUACUCGUCGAAUAAGCAUCGGCUAACUCCGUGCCAGCAGCCGCGGUAAUACGGAGGAUGCGAGCGUUAUCCGGAAUUAUUGGGUUUAAAGGGUGCGUAGGCUGUUUGUUAAGUCAGGGGUGAAAUACCGCAGCUCAACUGUGGAAUUGCCUUUGAUACUAGCAGGCUUGAAUACUGUUGCCGUGGGAGGAAUGAGUAGUGUAGCGGUGAAAUGCAUAGAUAUUACUCAGAACACCGAUUGCGAAGGCAUCUCACGAAGCAGGCAUUGACGCUGAGGCACGAAAGCGUGGGGAUCAAACAGG